Molecule: long non-coding RNA, 1192 nt
Filed under: Homo sapiens (human)
Lineage: Eukaryota; Metazoa; Chordata; Mammalia; Primates; Hominidae
Source: RNAcentral
CCUGGUCACCAGCCUGCACUUGGGCUGGCCACAAGCCUGGGUCCUUCCUCUUCUCCCUUGUUUCUUAAAAAGGAGAGAGGUAGAAAUUUGGAGAGUUUGUUUCUCAGUGAGUUUGGCACUAGGAAGGGCACUGAGUGUUCAGACAGGCUGCCAUGACCUGGCCAGGGUGGGGGUGGGGAGAGUCAGGUUGGGAGAACUCUAGUAUUUGGGGACAUAGAGUUCAAGCAAUUUUGGCCUUGUUGAUUACUCUGAAGUGUGGAGUAAGAGAACGGUGUCUGAAAUUAAGUGGGAGGGACUUGUCCCAGUGGCGGUGCGGGUACAGGCUUUCAGAGUGAGUUAGUGGUGAACCCAGGAAAAUCCCUUUCCAUUGCUGGGCCUCUGUUUGCCUUUCUGGAUGGAUGGUACAGUGGUUAAGAGCAAGGUUAAGGCAUGGAUUGGAAUCCAAACCUUAUCCCGUCUUUGUUGUGUGACCUUGAACAGCUGACUUCGUCUCUCUGAACCUUAUGGAGCCAAAAACAGCUCCUAGCUCUUCAGCUAUUUAGAGUGAUGACAAGGAUAAAGGUGGGCCUGUGGAAGUAUUGGCUGAAAUAGAGUGAAGAAGGUCAAAGAAGAGAGGAAAGUCAAGAUUCUUUCUUCCUGAGUGUUUGGAUAGCUCACAUUCCUGGCCAUAAAGGGCUUCCCUACCAGUAGAAUGUCAGGGCUUAGAGUAGAGAGGUAGGAAAGAAGUUGGGUAGAUGACAGGGAUGAACAACUUUUUAAAUCACAGGGCGAAGGUGUCAGUAUCCAAGUGUCUGGAGAGUUUCUUCUGGUAAUGUUUGAGUAGCUUCUAUUGGAUCAAGCAUCCUGUGAAUAACAGCUAUUAACUCUGAAGAAAACAUUUUUAAGAACCCAGUUCUCUGAAAUUACUGGAGAGUGAACGAAAGCAGCAGAUACUGAAGGGGGUUGGAUGAAGCAGGUUUCCUAUUUUGGGUGUUUUUUUUAAUGCUUUCGGCCUAAAGGCAGACCCUGGAAAGUGCCUUGUGGGGUGGCUUAAUCCCAGAUAGAGAUGUUUUAAUUUUUUUGACUUCAAGAACCAGAGGACAGAAUUCAAGGUGAUUAUAGCAUCUACUGAUAGUGGUGGUAGAAUUGCAAAAAGGAAAGAGCCAGAGAGGGGGAGCCCCAAAUUCUGUAAAUAAACUCUGUCCAAAUUUCU